RNAcentral lists this small nuclear RNA (18 nucleotides) under Arabidopsis thaliana (thale cress). Its description in RNAcentral is "snRNA_15537". The record is from RNAcentral. Lineage: Eukaryota; Viridiplantae; Streptophyta; Magnoliopsida; Brassicales; Brassicaceae.
AGCAGAAUUCACCAAGUG